RNAcentral lists this ribosomal RNA (559 nucleotides) under uncultured bacterium. Its description in RNAcentral is "bacterial SSU rRNA". It matches the Rfam family "Bacterial small subunit ribosomal RNA", at positions 777 to 1320 of the family's 1533-position model. The record is from RNAcentral.
AAUAGAUACCCGGGUAGUCCACGCCGUAAACGAUGAGUGCUAAGUGUUAGGGGGUUUCCGCCCCUUAGUGCUGCAGCUAACGCAUUAAGCACUCCGCCUGGGGAGUACGGUCGCAAGACUGAAACUCAAAGGAAUUGACGGGGGCCCGCACAAGCGGUGGAGCAUGUGGUUUAAUUCGAAGCAACGCGAAGAACCUUACCAGGUCUUGACAUCCCAUUGACCACUAUGGAGACAUAGUUUUCCCUUCGGGGACAACGGUGACAGGUGGUGCAUGGUUGUCGUCAGCUCGUGUCGUGUAGAUGUUGGGUUAAGUCCGCAACGAGCGCAACCCUUGUUCUUAGUUGCCAUCUAUUUAGUUGGGCACUCUAAGGAGUACUGCCGGUGACGAAACCGGAGGAAGGUGGGGAUGACGUACAAAUACAUCAUCGUCCCCUUACUACGACCGUGGGUCUACACACGUGCUACAAGUGGACGGUACGAAACGGUUGCCGAACCCGCGAGGGGAGCUAAUCCGACUAAACCGUUCUCAGUUCGGAUUGUAGGCUGCAACUCGCCUACA